Nicotiana tabacum (common tobacco) is the source of this 225-nucleotide non-coding RNA. The record is from RefSeq and is a predicted model, not a curated record. NCBI's taxonomy places the organism in Eukaryota, Viridiplantae, Streptophyta, Magnoliopsida, Solanales, Solanaceae.
CUUGGCUGGAGGAGCCACAUUAGCGGCUGGGAGAAUAGUUGCCGAACAAGGAGUAUUGAAGGCUGUCUGGCCUCAUAGUGGACAUUACCGACCUACCCCAGAAAACUUCCAGGACUUUGUUUCAUUCAUGAGGGAGAACAAUGUCGACCUCAAUGAUGUUAAGCUUGAUUCCGACGAAGAUGAGGAAGAAUCCAUUGGCAAGAAGAGUGGUGUUUUCCUCAGAGG